RNAcentral lists this ribosomal RNA (400 nucleotides) under uncultured bacterium. Its description in RNAcentral is "bacterial SSU rRNA". It matches the Rfam family "Bacterial small subunit ribosomal RNA", at positions 356 to 773 of the family's 1533-position model. The record is from RNAcentral.
AGGGAAUCUUGCGCAAUGGGCGAAAGCCUGACGCAGCCAUGCCGCGUGAAUGAUGAAGGUCUUAGGAUUGUAAAAUUCUUUCACCGGGGACGAUAAUGACGGUACCCGGAGAAGAAGCCCCGGCUAACUUCGUGCCAGCAGCCGCGGUAAUACGAAGGGGGCUAGCGUUGCUCGGAAUUACUGGGCGUAAAGGGAGCGUAGGCGGAUAGUUUAGUCAGGGGUGAAAGCCCAGGGCUCAACCUUGGAACUGCCUUUGAUACUGGCUAUCUUGAGUAUGGGAGAGGUGAGUGGAACUCCGAGUGUAGAGGUGAAAUUCGUAGAUAUUCGGAAGAACACCAGUGGCGAAGGCGACUCACUGGCCCAUUACUGACGCUGAGGCUCGAAAGCGUGGGGAGCAAAC